This 811-nucleotide long non-coding RNA is filed under the name Mustela putorius furo (domestic ferret). RNAcentral describes it as "lncRNA (ENSMPUG00000024560.1)". Lineage: Eukaryota; Metazoa; Chordata; Mammalia; Carnivora; Mustelidae. The record is from RNAcentral.
CAGCUGGUGCUCUGCCAUUAUGGCAGGAGCUGAACCCAGUGUCCUGGGUGGCAUGUGGCAGUGCGUGAUCUAAGCUGUCAAGUUCCUGCAGUGGAUAAAGAUGUUUGCAGUCACUCCAUGAGACGUCUCUGUGCAGGAUCAGAUUUUUUUGUGGAUUUAGAGAAAACAACAGUGACAGAAGUUCAGCAAAUAUUUUUAUCGCCCUAACUGGAUGUCGACAAUCAGUAAGAGCCUCCCUACAGAUAUAUGAGUCAACGCCUGAAGACACAGGAAUGAGAGGAGUGAGUGAAGCUGAGCCCCCACAUAGGACGCAGAUGAACUUUCGUAGAAGAGGGGAGAGUGACUUUUAUCCUAAGGAACUAGAUUUUUCUUUCUUAAACAUUGACAUAUUCUCCUAAACUGAAGACAUGAUGGAAUGCAUGGAAUAAACUGGGAACAGCCAUGUUGAAGCUUGAUGUAAAGAGGUCAUGGUGGAGACACAGUGCUCCAUGGUGUCAGGACCCAAGCCCUUUCCAUAUUGUUGCUCCGCCAUGUAUGGCCAUCCCAUUAUUACAUUUUAUUUCCUUUGUCAUCCUUAAUAAUUGCUGAAAUCAACUUGUUUAUUUUUUGUUUGCUUUUAAAUUCUUACCUCACUAGAAUUUAAGAGAAAUCUAACUUGUUUAAUCACUGUUCCAAGUACAUAGACAGUGGUUGGAACACAACAGGUGUUAAACAUGGAUGGAAAAAAUGAAUGACUGAAUGAAUGACUGAAGCCUCAAUCAGCUUCAGGGGGUUGCAAGUCUAGUAGGGGUCAGUGGCAGUUGCUGGCAGG